This is a non-coding RNA of Callorhinus ursinus (northern fur seal), 3072 nucleotides long. Lineage: Eukaryota; Metazoa; Chordata; Mammalia; Carnivora; Otariidae. The record is from RefSeq and is a predicted model, not a curated record.
UUCCGGAGCGGGAGGGAGCGGAGCUCUUUCGUGCGGACCGGUUUUCCUGUCCGCAGCUGCCCGCAGGGUGGUGGCUUUCAAAACUUUGCCGGCCGGGAAGGCGCCUGGGUCCGGCUUCUUGGAGCGCUCCAUCCGGGCCUCGGGGCCUCCUUUUUCUGAAACAGACCCAGAAUGCCGAGUGCUUCUGGCCCCGCGUCUCAGUUUAAAGUUCACCGCUUCUUUGGAGCUAUUUUUCUGACCUGCGCUCAACAAUUCCCACCUAAACCAAACCACCACCACCAACAAAAGAGUCCGUCUUUGGGCCCCUCCUUUGGAUUCUCUAGCACGGAACUCUCACCCCUCCACACAGGGUCCAGACUAGGUGACAUUAAACAUUGGAGUGAAAGAAUCUUUAUUUGGCGGUGGUGGUGCAGUGAGGAAGACAAUCCUGGAGGAAUGACUGGUCCUCACCCAACCUGAGCCAAUGGCCACCGCAGUGCACAGCCCACGAUACUACGCUAUUUAAUCCACUCGACCCCUUCCCCCCCAGAUGUUCUUCCUUGUUGGGAUCACCCGCUUCAGUGGGGGAGAAGAUUCUACAUUACCCUUCUUUGACCCUUCAUCCAGCUCAAGAAAACAAUGGGAUCAACCGCCCUGCUUCUGGUGAAGCUAUUUGCUCCUAAUGCUGAGCAGAUGUACAUUGUUAAUCACUUGAAAGAGAGCCCAGCAGAAGAGAAGAGAAAUGUGCUGGAGGAAAGUGCCAGGAGAGCCCAUGAGGACAUAGAAGAUUUGGCAGACCUGAACCCCAGCAAGCUUGAAGCUGUCAUUAUGCCGGUGGUGUUGGGGUGGCCCAGAGCCACCCCGUGAGCAGUUCGGUAAAGGACUCUUCUGUUGCAUUUCACACAUCCUGGCAGCUGACACCUUCAUGCUGUGAAGUCACAGUGGGUCAGGAAACUCAUGUGGAUGCAGGGGGAGGAAAGGAUGAAAAGCUUACUGCCUGGUAAGUAGGUUCUAUAGCAUUUUCCCAUUUUCCUUCCUCCAAAUGAGUAUCAAUGUGACUGCUUUCCUGGUAGCUUAACGAAUUAUCUUCCACUUGGGGCCUGCCAUAUUUGGUAAUUGGCACUCAGGUGGGGGCCGGACACGGUGAGGGACAGUGCUUUAAGGUGAUGAGACCAGCUGGCUUUGAAUCAUAGGGAAAAUGUAUUCAUUCGAAAUACACUGGCUUACUCUAUAAGAAAAAAUUUUCAGUAUAUCAGUUCUCUUGUAUGAUAUCAUUCAGCUGAAUGGAUCAAAUUAUCCUUGCUUUAAUUAUUUCCUAUUGAUCCGAGUACAUACAGCCUUCAUUUUCUCUUACUAAGGGAAUAUUUAAAUGAAGCCUCAUGUUGGAACAGAUUUCUUCCAUGCACAGUGCCUGUGGGCUUCUGUUCCAAACACUGCCGCAUUUGAGAGGCCAGUGCGAGCUGACCAUUUUAACUCUCUUCACAGUCAUGGUGUCGAUUGCCUGAGAAACAUUUUCUUCCUCCCAGGUAUCUUUUCUUCUGAUAGGUUCGAUGAUGCAGCUGGGGCCGCUGCCGAAUAGGAGCCUGGCUGCGCAAAGGGCUGCAGGGAGGGGGGUCCUGCCAGGAUGCUGCCAACAGAGCGGCCCAGAGGCGGCCCCUCCAUGGGAGCAGUGUGGGGAGGGCGGCAAGGCGGCGGGGGAGGCUUUCGAAGGGGUUUGAAAAGUGAUGCUUCAGUGAUAAUAUUUAGAAGAACAUGUUCAAGUAAAAACAGCUCCAACCAAAUGAGGGACACACUUUAUCACUUACUGAGAGGUACUUUCAGUGUGAUCCUGACUCAAAGAUUAAAUAAUUGUCACUGAAUUAUUCAGAAAUACAUGGUUUCUAGACAAGCAUAGUUUCACUUCUUUCAUUUUUCAAAGUCAGAAAUGACUCUCAAGCCGUGUUUCAAACAGACGGGCAUUGGGCUGUUCCAAAGGCUCUUUCCUGAACCUCCAGCUUGGCUCCUGUAAGGACACCAACUGUAACUGGGAUGGGUUGAAUUGUCCAUAAUAAGAAGGACAAUAGAAAGCAGGGGGAAUUUAAGUGAGAUGAUGACAUCUGGAUGUUGAUUUCUGCAUUUGCAACUCAACUAGAUGACUAAACUAAUCUUCAUGAUUUCUGUGAAGGUUUUCUGUUUGCUAUGACUCAGAUAAAGCCAUGACACUUUUUAACGUUACUGUGUGUCAUACAUUCUUUUGAUGUCCUCUGCAGCUGUCCGUGCCUGGGCACCCAGGCUUUAGCAGGAACCAGAGUAGCCUGUGGAACGCUCAUCUGUUUUGGAGUGUUUCACUUGCUAGGAACUAUCCCUAUACUUUUUUUUUUAAUUACAGAGUAGGGGAAGAGGGGAGGAAUAAAACAAUCUCACCGGGUGAUAAAAACCUGCAACAUCGCAGGUAGAUUUCAUAUGGAUGGGAAGAGACUACAGACACGGGCGCAUGCGCACAGGUGCAUCCUUCUGCCGGAAGGAGGAGCAGCAGAUCUUACUGUGACCUUGCCCUGCUCCCUUCAGUUCCCUGUGGCUUUGCUCUGUGCGGGGAAGUCCUGCAUUUCUCCAGUGCCAUGAAGCUUCUGUUGUCACAGGUUCUGUCUCGGCCCAGGAAGAACCGGAAGCUACGAAUUCUACCUCUGGAAGGUUCACAUUCCCACCAGGGGAGGAGUGAGGAAGCACAGCUGGCCCCGAAUAGGUACAGAGCACUUUCCUUGUCCUGUGUACUGAUUUGCUUGUCUCUCUACUCACAGCUUAUGGAUUAUAAGCUCAUGAUGGUAAGAGGCGUUUGUCUAUUUUGUUGACCUGCACCAGGAACAUCCUCUGGCAUAUGAAGCCCUUGAUAAAAGUUUGUUGAUAAUGAACGCCCACCAUUUACAAAGCGUCUCCAAAGAGGUUCCCCUACGUAAGGUAUUACAGGCCUAAAGGUGGGGUCAUAGGAGAUUCAUCUGACGGGGAUAUCUGUUUUAGAUAAAGGCUUCCGAGCAAAGUUGUUAUAAAAUACAACAUAUAAAAAUUCCCUUUAAAGUCACAUAUUCUUGGGGCGUUUGGGUGGCUCAGUUGUUAAGC